GAUGAACGCUGGCGGCGUGCCUAACACAUGCAAGUCGAGCGAUUUACUUCGGUAAAGAGCGGCGGACGGGUGAGUAACGCGUGGGUAACCUGCCCUAUACACACGGAUAACAUACCGAAAGGUAUGCUAAUACGGGAUAAUAUAAGAGAUUCGCAUGGAUUUCUUAUCAAAGCUGAGGCAGUAUAGGAUGGACCCG
Molecule: ribosomal RNA, 196 nt
Filed under: uncultured Bacillota bacterium
Lineage: Bacteria; Bacillati; Bacillota
Description: uncultured Firmicutes bacterium partial 16S ribosomal RNA
Rfam family: Bacterial small subunit ribosomal RNA
Source: RNAcentral